GAUGAACGCUGGCGGCGUGCCUAACACAUGCAAGUCGAGCGGCAGCGAGGGGUGCUUGCACCCUGUCGGCGAGCGGCGGACGGCUGAGUAACGCGUGGGAACGUGCCCCAAAGUGAGGAAUAACUGCCCGAAAGGGUAGCUAAUACCGCAUAUUAUCUUCGGAUCAAAGGAUUUAUCCGCUUUGGGAGCGGCUCGCGUCGGAUUAGGUAGUUGGUGAGGUAAUGGCUCACCGAGCCGACGAUCCGUAGCUGGUCUGAGAGGAUGACCAGCCAGACUGGAACUGAGACACGGUCCAGACUCCUACGGGAGGCAGCAGUGAGGAAUCUUCCACAAUGGGCGAAAGCCUGAUGGAGCAACGCCGCGUGCAGGACGAAGGCCUUCGGGUUGUAAACUGCUUUUAUAAGUGAGGAAUAUGACGGUAACUUAUGAAUAAGGAUCGGCUAACUACGU
This 450-nucleotide ribosomal RNA is filed under the name uncultured bacterium. Its description in RNAcentral is "partial 16S ribosomal RNA". It matches the Rfam family "Bacterial small subunit ribosomal RNA", at positions 28 to 506 of the family's 1533-position model. The record is from RNAcentral.